AGGCGGCUAUGGCGGCGGGGUUCCACCUCUUCCCAUUCCGAACAGAGAAGUUAAGCCCGCCUGCGCCGAUGGUACUGCAAUGCAAUGCGGGAGAGUAGGUGGCUGCCG
RNAcentral lists this ribosomal RNA (108 nucleotides) under uncultured Prevotella sp. Lineage: Bacteria; Pseudomonadati; Bacteroidota; Bacteroidia; Bacteroidales; Prevotellaceae. The record is from RNAcentral.